CUGGACUCCAUUUUAAAGGGCAUAUUAGCAUUAUCAAAGUAAUCGUUAAGAUGUGUCUUGGUUUUCUGUUAAAUCUUUUAUAUUUUUAAUUUUUUUUUAUUUUUUAUUUCUACAUCAUAUUAGUGGAAAAAGAUAAUCAAGUGCUGGGAAGAAAAAAAGGAAAUAUUAUUAUCUUUGGGUGCCAUCAGAUGUUAUGCUCUCAAAUUAAAUGUAUUUUCUUCUCCUUUCAGAAGAAUGUGAGGUAACUUCUCCAGCACAGGAUUCACUUGCACAGGGUGCUGGAGAAUCCCUUUUGCAGUCCUAAAUUCAGGGCAGAGACAGCACCAAAAGUCAUGGAGCAGAUGGAAGAGGAAAUUCCCUGGAGCUGGCAGGGCAGGGUGAAGUGGAAUUUUCUACCCCACUGCUGAGGGUUGUUUCAAUAUAGUGCUGCUGUGUUUGGCUCAGAAUGGGCCAUGCUCCACAGACAGAAGAUAAAAGGAGCAGAUUUUCUGCUCCACAUCUCUUCAGAGUGUGGAUCUCUCAGAGUUCCAGAUCUCUUCAGAGCCUUCAGCCUUCUUGGAGCCUGGCCUCAGGCCACUGCACUGUGCUGCUCCAGCUGCACUGUCCAGCCAGCAGAAGGACAGAGAGGGGAGGAACCACGGGGCACUGACUGGAGCACUUGCUUGGCAGCAGGAUGCCGAGUGCCUCGGCCAGGAUCAGCAGAUGUUUGAAUUUCCCCAAAGCUGAAAGAAGCUGUGGAUCUGUAAAAAUAAGCUUCUCGAAGCUGGCGUGUUUCUGCUCAAAAUGGACUGGGUCUGAUUUGCUGUUUGAGUAAAACCAGAGGGAUGGAAAUUUGUAUUUCUGGUUUUUUUCCUUUUUGUCUUGACUGGAAGUUUUAUAGUUCUUUAUCUUAAAUGUUCCUAAGGGUUCAGUUAAGUUGUCUGGUUAUAAACCAGGUGUUUAUCUGAGAGCAUUUUGUGGGUGACAAAUACAAUAUAAAGCUGUUAUAGAUCUUUUCCUUCUGCUCCUUAAACAGGAAUACAACCUGUGUGACACCACAGGACAGCUGAGUGACAAUGCAGGUGAGAACCCUGAUAUUCCACGAGGAAAUGGGUGGAGAGUGGGAUGGAUGCUGGGAGAAAAUCCUUCCCAUCUGAUCACCUUGGCAGGUGUAGUGACCAAAUGGUUUGGGUUUUGCUGGGCUUGGUUUUAGUUAUUUUUAGGACACAGCUGCUUUAAACUUUAAUUUUUUGCCAAUGAUGACUUCUUUUUAGGGAGGAAAAAAAAAAAAAAAGGAGUAAUAUUGAGAUUAGAAUUAACAAAACAUGAGGAAAGAGAAAUCAAUAUUAAUAUAAGCAUCAGAACAUUUUAA
Molecule: long non-coding RNA, 1351 nt
Filed under: Parus major (Great Tit)
Lineage: Eukaryota; Metazoa; Chordata; Aves; Passeriformes; Paridae
Description: lncRNA (ENSPMJG00000004973.1)
Source: RNAcentral